Molecule: unclassified non-coding RNA, 213 nt
Filed under: Hevea brasiliensis (rubber tree)
Lineage: Eukaryota; Viridiplantae; Streptophyta; Magnoliopsida; Malpighiales; Euphorbiaceae
Source: RNAcentral
UUAGGGUUCUUGACUUAGGGUUUGGAAAAGAAAAAUUAUAGAAAAUGGUCAAUGGAUGCAAGUGAUCUUAAUGAGGGUUAGAAAUGGUCGAAUGAGACCAUUUGUGGUGUGUGUGAAUUGAUAGAACUGAAUUGCAAUUUAGAUUGGUUAGAGUCAAUAUGCAGACCGCUUGACCUAGGUCCCUUUCAGGGACCAAAACUGAAAAUUUACCAA